This 111-nucleotide ribosomal RNA is filed under the name Caerostris darwini. The record is from RNAcentral. Lineage: Eukaryota; Metazoa; Arthropoda; Arachnida; Araneae; Araneidae.
AACGGCCGUACCAUGCUGAAUAUACCGGUUCUCGUUAGAUCACCGAAGUCAAGCAUCAUUGGGCGCGGUCAGUACUUGGGUGGGUGACCACCUGGGAACACCGCGCGCCGU